This 63-nucleotide transfer RNA is filed under the name Podarcis lilfordi (Lilford's wall lizard). RNAcentral's name for it is "tRNA.Lys". The record is from RNAcentral. Lineage: Eukaryota; Metazoa; Chordata; Lepidosauria; Squamata; Lacertidae.
GCCUGGAUAGCUCAGUUGGUAGAGCAUGUGACUCUUAAUCUCAGGGUUGCCACACAUUGGGCA